AAUCCAUAGGUUAAUGAGGCGAACCGGGGGAACUGAAACAUCUAAGUACCCCGAGGAAAAGAAAUCAACCGAGAUUCCCCCAGUAGCGGCGAGCGAACGGGGAGGAGCCCAGAGCCUGAAUCAGCAUGUGUGUUAGUGGAAGCGUCUGGAAAGGCGCGCGAUACAGGGUGACAGCCCCGUACACAAAAGCGCAUGUGCUGUGAGCUCGAUGAGUAGGGCGGGACACGUGGUAUCCUGUCUGAAUAUGGGGGGACCAUCCUCCAAGGCUAAAUACUCCUGACUGACCGAUAGUGAACCAGUACCGUGAGGGAAAGGCGAAAAGAACCCCGGCGAGGGGAGUGAAAAAGAACCUGAAACCGUGUACGUACAAGCAGUGGGAGCACCCUUUGGGUGUGACUGCGUACCUUUUGUAUAAUGGGUCAGCGACUUAUAUUCUGUAGCAAGGUUAACCGAAUAGGGGAGCCGGAGGGAAACCGAGUCUUAACCGGGCGUUAAGUUGCAGGGUAUAGACCCGAAACCCGGUGAUCUAGCCAUGGGCAGGUUGAAGGUUGGGUAACACUAACUGGAGGACCGAACCGACUAAUGUUGAAAAAUUAGCGGAUGACCUGUGGCUGGGGGUGAAAGGCCAAUCAAACCGGGAGAUAGCUGGUUCUCCCCGAAAGCUAUUUAGGUAGCGCCUCGUGAAUUCAUCUCCGGGGGUAGAGCACUGUUUCGGCUAGGGGGCCAUCCCGGCUUACCAACCCGAUGCAAACUGCGAAUACCGGAGAAUGUUAUCACGGGAGACACACGGCGGGUGCUAACGUCCGUCGUGAAGAGGGAAACAACCCAGACCGCCAGCUAAGGUCCCAAAGUCAUGGUUAAGUGGGAAACGAUGUGGGAAGGCCCAGACAGCCAGGA
This 897-nucleotide ribosomal RNA is filed under the name Salmonella enterica. RNAcentral's name for it is "partial 23S ribosomal RNA". It matches the Rfam family "Bacterial large subunit ribosomal RNA", at positions 161 to 1098 of the family's 2925-position model. Lineage: Bacteria; Pseudomonadati; Pseudomonadota; Gammaproteobacteria; Enterobacterales; Enterobacteriaceae. The record is from RNAcentral.